UGGGGAAUAUUGGACAAUGGGCGCAAGCCUGAUCCAGCUAUGCCGCGUGGAUGAAGAAGGCCCUAGGGUUGUAAAGUCCUUUCGUUGGUGAAGAUAAUGACGGUAACCAAAGAAGAAGCCCCGGCUAAUUUCGUGCCAGCAGCCGCGGUAAUACGAAAGGGGCUAGCGUCGUUUGGAAUUACUGGGCGUAAAGCGCACGUAGGCGGCCUUGUAAGAUGGGGGUGAAAUCCCUGGGCUCAACCCAGGAACUGCCUUCAUGACUGCAAAGCUUGAGGAUGUGAGAGGUUGGCGGAAUUCCGAGUGUAGAGGUGAAAUUCGUAGAUAUUCGGAAGAACACCAGUGGCGAAGGCGGCCAACUGGCACAUUUCUGACGCUGAGGUGCGAAAGCGUGGGGAGCAAACAGGAUUAGAUACCCACGUAGUCCCUGAGCGGGCUGGCAAGGCGCAU
RNAcentral lists this ribosomal RNA (447 nucleotides) under uncultured bacterium. Its description in RNAcentral is "bacterial SSU rRNA". It matches the Rfam family "Bacterial small subunit ribosomal RNA", at positions 355 to 825 of the family's 1533-position model. The record is from RNAcentral.